AUUUCAAACACAAUGAAUGAGAAAAAAAUAAACUGCCCACUGCCAUCUUCAGGACUUACUCCUUCCAGUUAAAAAUGUUGGUCCAAAGAAAAGAGGAAAAAAAAAAAAAAGAAUAGAUUGUAUUUAUGCUGUGUUGUCGGUCAGACAACACACAUGUGCUAUGUAAUCUACGGUUUCCUAGGACUUGUGUGUUGAGGAAAAGAUGGUGGCAGAAUGAGAAUUACAGACCAAGGAAAAGCAAAAGUGUGAAGGCCUUGAGCGAGGAGGAGCAUGAAACUUCAGAAAUGAAACGCAACAUAUUCACAGUUGAGAAAGGGACUUUUAGGAUACAGACAACUUUGGAGGGCCAUUAUUCUGCCUGCCACAGAGAUAUCAUCCAUAAGUGACUCGUCUCUAAAAAUUAAAGAUAGAAAAUGGAGUUGAUGCAGGAAAAAUAAGAAAUCGAUGUCAUGGAUAAAGACGACUUCUCCUGGUCUCGUUUCUCUAAGCAAAACAACUCAGUAGCUCAAGAGACUAGGUAAG
RNAcentral lists this long non-coding RNA (522 nucleotides) under Homo sapiens (human). RNAcentral describes it as "HSALNT0303885". Lineage: Eukaryota; Metazoa; Chordata; Mammalia; Primates; Hominidae. The record is from RNAcentral.